Molecule: unclassified non-coding RNA, 865 nt
Filed under: uncultured Borreliella sp.
Lineage: Bacteria; Pseudomonadati; Spirochaetota; Spirochaetia; Spirochaetales; Borreliaceae
Description: partial 16S-23S ribosomal RNA intergenic spacer
Rfam family: tRNA (bases 212-285)
Source: RNAcentral
CGUACUGGAAAGUGCGGCUGGAUCACCUCCUUUCUAAGAGAAAGAUAAACUAAGGCUAAUCCCAUUAACUCUUCCCUACUCUUUUCUUUUGAUAAGAAAAUUUUUAAAGCCUGUGUUGUUUUUGUAAGUUUAAGAGAAGUUCAUGUAUUAAAUUUUUUAUUGUUGAUGUUAAAGAGCUUUAUUAAACUUAGACUUAAGUUUAGAUCGUUUUGGGGGUUUAGCUCAGUUGGCUAGAGCAUCGGCUUUGCAAGCCGAGGGUCAAGGGUUCGAGUCCCUUAACCUCCAUUGGGCCUGUGCCUUAAAUUGCGAUUAAGUAUGUUUUCAAGUAGCUUUGUUAAAGUAAUUAUUGGAAUGUGAAACAGAGGAAGUUGGAAUUUUUAAGUUAAAUUUGAGAUCUAUUUAUAUUAAGAAGAAUAUCUAGAGGUGAAAGCAAGCUUCCGAUAAAAACAGACCUUAUUUCUCUAAAGUAUAAGGGUUGAACAGGAUUAUACUUUUCAGUAGUCUUUUAUAAAUGAGCUACAUUUAUUGCUAUCUUUUAGUUAGUAAUUGAUGAGGAUCGCCAGUUGUGAUACUUGGGGAGAGCCUUGUAAUGAGUUGCAAUCUUUGUUAUCGUUACCAGUAUGUAAUUAUGGAUAUUCGGGGUAAGACCGUCGGUUAUAAAUUAGAUGAAGGCGAAGUUUAUGUUAAAUUGUCAUGAGCCCCCUAUGCUCUAGGUUACAAAUUUGUCUCAAUGGCCUAAAAAAGCUAAUUAAAAUGCUAUAAAUCAGAUUUCAGUUUGGAUUUGCUAAUAAUCACAUGUGCUUUAAUAUAGAAAUUGAAUAAAUUUUCAUUGCCAUUAAUUAUAGCUUAAAGUAACACUGCUGUA